CAGUGGCUCAGUGGCACAGCAUCUGCUUGGCUUGCAGAAGGUCCCUGGUUCAAUCGCCAUUUCCAGUUAAAAGGA
RNAcentral lists this transfer RNA (75 nucleotides) under Sphaerodactylus townsendi. RNAcentral's name for it is "tRNA-Ala". The record is from RNAcentral. Lineage: Eukaryota; Metazoa; Chordata; Lepidosauria; Squamata; Sphaerodactylidae.